UCCGCGGUCUAGGCAAGGACAUGCAGCGGCUUAAGCCGCCGCUCAAGACCAUUACCUUUAUGGGCAUGAUGUUCAACUCAUCUAAUGCCGAUC
Molecule: transfer RNA, 93 nt
Filed under: Comamonas thiooxydans
Lineage: Bacteria; Pseudomonadati; Pseudomonadota; Betaproteobacteria; Burkholderiales; Comamonadaceae
Description: tRNA-Leu
Source: RNAcentral